This 254-nucleotide ribosomal RNA is filed under the name uncultured bacterium. RNAcentral's name for it is "partial 16S ribosomal RNA". It matches the Rfam family "Bacterial small subunit ribosomal RNA", at positions 524 to 776 of the family's 1533-position model. The record is from RNAcentral.
UACGGAGGAUCCAAGCGUUAUCCGGAAUAACUGGGCGUAAAGAGUUGCGUAGGCGGUACAGUAAGCGAAGUGUGAAAUCGUGUGGCUCAACCAUGCGGCUAUGCUUUGAGCUGCUGAACUAGAGAAUGAGAGAGGUCACUGGAAUUCCAAGUGUAGGAGUGAAAUCCGUAGAUAUUUGGAGGAACACCGAUAGCGUAGGCAGGUGACUGGCUCAUUUCUGACGCUCAGGCACGAAAGCGUGGGGAGCAAACGGG